UGGAACCGCAUGGUUCUAAAGUGAAAGAUGGUUUUGCUAUCACUUAUAGAUGGACCCGCGCCGUAUUAGCUAGUUGGUAAGGUAACGGCUUACCAAGGCGACGAUACGUAGCCGACCUGAGAGGGUGAUCGGCCACACUGGAACUGAGACACGGUCCAGACUCCUACGGGAGGCAGCAGUAGGGAAUCUUCCGCAAUGGGCGAAAGCCUGACGGAGCAACGCCGCGUGAGUGAUGAAGGGUUUCGGCUCGUAAAACUCUGUUAUUAGGGAAGAACAAAUGUGUAAGUAACUGUGCACGUCUUGACGGUACCUAAUCAGAAAGCCACGGCUAACUACGUGCCAGCAGCCGCGGUAAUACGUAGGUGGCAAGCGUUAUCCGGAAUUAUUGGGCGUAAAGCGCGCGUAGGCGGUUUCUUAAGUCUGAUGUGAAAGCCCACGGCUCAACCGUGGAGGGUCAUUGGAAACUGGGAAACUUGAGUGCAGAAGAGGAAAGUGGAAUUCCAUGUGUAGCGGUGAAAUGCGCAGAGAUAUGGAGGAACACCAGUGGCGAAGGCGACUUUCUGGUCUGUAACUGACGCUGAUGUGCGAAAGCGUGGGGAUCAAACAGGAUUAGAUACCCUGGUAGU
RNAcentral lists this ribosomal RNA (626 nucleotides) under Staphylococcus sp. RNAcentral describes it as "bacterial SSU rRNA". It matches the Rfam family "Bacterial small subunit ribosomal RNA", at positions 181 to 794 of the family's 1533-position model. Lineage: Bacteria; Bacillati; Bacillota; Bacilli; Caryophanales; Staphylococcaceae. The record is from RNAcentral.